GGCGAACGGGUGAGUAACACGUGAGCAACCUGCCCUAGGCUUUGGGAUAACCCCGGGAAACCGGGGCUAAUACCGAAUAGGACCUGACACCGCAUGGUGUUUGGUGGAAAGUUUUUCGGCCUGGGAUGGGCUCGCGGCCUAUCAGCUUGUUGGUGGGGUGAUGGCCUACCAAGGCGACGACGGGUAGCCGGCCUGAGAGGGCGACCGGCCACACUGGGACUGAGACACGGCCCAGACUCCUACGGGAGGCAGCAGUGGGGAAUAUUGCACAAUGGGCGGAAGCCUGAUGCAGCGACGCCGCGUGAGGGAUGACGGCCUUCGGGUUGUAAACCUCUUUCAGCAGGGACGAAGCGUAAGUGACGGUACCUGCAGAAGAAGCGCCGGCCAACUACGUGCCAGCAGCCGCGGUAAGACGUAGGGCGCGAGCGUUGUCCGGAUUUAUUGGGCGUAAAGAGCUCGUAGGCGGCUUGUCGCGUCGACUGUGAAAACCCGCAGCUCAACUGCGGGCCUGCAGUCGAUACGGGCAGGCUAGAGUUCGGUAGGGGAGACUGGAAUUCCUGGUGUAGCGGUGAAAUGCGCAGAUAUCAGGAGGAACACCGGUGGCGAAGGCGGGUCUCUGGGCCGAUACUGACGCUGAGGA
This 640-nucleotide ribosomal RNA is filed under the name Micromonospora arenae. RNAcentral's name for it is "bacterial SSU rRNA". It matches the Rfam family "Bacterial small subunit ribosomal RNA", at positions 97 to 752 of the family's 1533-position model. Lineage: Bacteria; Bacillati; Actinomycetota; Actinomycetes; Micromonosporales; Micromonosporaceae. The record is from RNAcentral.